GGCUGGUCUGAAGGUAGUGAGUUAUCUCACUUGAUUGUUCACAGUUACAGAUCAAACUUCUUGUUCUACUGUUUCCCCUCUUCUCACUACCGUACUUGACUAGUCUUUG
Unclassified non-coding RNA from Chlorocebus sabaeus (green monkey), 109 nucleotides. It matches the Rfam family "Y RNA". From Rfam's summary of the family: Y RNAs are components of the Ro ribonucleoprotein particle (Ro RNP), in association with Ro60 and La proteins. NCBI's taxonomy places the organism in Eukaryota, Metazoa, Chordata, Mammalia, Primates, Cercopithecidae. The record is from Ensembl.